This 400-nucleotide long non-coding RNA is filed under the name Homo sapiens (human). RNAcentral's name for it is "HSALNT0386497". The record is from RNAcentral. Lineage: Eukaryota; Metazoa; Chordata; Mammalia; Primates; Hominidae.
CCCUAUCACUUUAACUUAUUUGACUAUAAUACCGUGCUCCUUCUCUAAAUAGCAUAUCAUCAAAAUGUAAUGCAAACACGCAUUUCCAAUCUUGUGACAAUGUAGAUUCUGCUUCAUUCGGUCCGGGGUAGGGUCUGGGAAUCUGCAUUCCUAACAAGCUCCUGGAGUAUGACUGAACUAAUACACUUGCCCCAGAGUUCCUAUUGGAACCAUAGUGCAAAAGAUCUUCCAUAGCAUGUGAAUACAGGAUGUAUCAAUAUUUUUCUCCAUGCAGUCAAGAUUUUACACGCCCUUCUACCCUGUCUACAUUAUUAAAUCUAUCAUUCAUCAUUUAUACCCUCUUUUUAAAGUUAUAGUCCCUGAAAUUAACAGGCAUUUAUAUAACCUCCCAAUGUCCUUG